Molecule: long non-coding RNA, 1268 nt
Organism: Oncorhynchus tshawytscha (Chinook salmon)
Lineage: Eukaryota; Metazoa; Chordata; Actinopteri; Salmoniformes; Salmonidae
Source: Ensembl
UGAUGUUUUUAUGGUAGGGUAGCUAGAUGUGGUUUUUAUGGUAGGGUAGCUAGAUGUGGGUUUUUAUGGUAGGGUAGCUAGAUGUGGUUUUUAUGGUAGGGUAGCUAGAUGUGGUUUUUAUGGUAGGGUAGCUAGAUGUGGUUUUUUAUGGUAGGGUAGCUAGAUGUGGUUUUUAUGGUAGGGUAGCUAGAUGUGGUUUUUUAUGGUAGGGUAGCUAGAUGUGGUUUUUUAUGGUAGGGUAGCUAGAUGUGGUUUCUCUCUACUCAAUGUCUUGGUAAGUCACGGUGUUUAACAAACCUGAAAGUACUUUUUUAGGAGAGACUGGUCUGCCGUCAGACAGGCUUCGUACAGCCGCCCGAGAUGAUUUGUUUGACCGUUCCGGUGACCUAGUGAUGGACGUUAGUCCUGCUUCAGAAGCCUCAUUCCUGUACAGAGUAGUAAAAUGCCUGUUCGUAUCUCCAGAGAAGGAUGUGUGUCUGCAUUUAAACAGCCGUAGUGUAGCCUACCUAGACAAACACACGCCGUAGCGCUUUCAAGGGGUCACAUUCCAUUACGUCUGAAAGGGGUAAUCAAUACAGGCUACCGGUAGCCUACUGUCAUUUCAUAUUAUUAGACAAAAACACCCCCAGCCAAUCGGCAACAAAGAGUACCCCAUGCUCACAAGACUGGCCCAAAGGCCAGUGUGAAGGAGAGGGAUGAGGGGCAGGUAGAACCGUGCACAUGGGGCCUGUCUUGGUAAUAUGCAUCUCGCAAUGUCUUGUCUUGCAAUUCAACUCUGAAAUUCACCACAGUAGCCUAAAGUUGGCUUCUUCCUCUCUGGUUUAAUUUAAACGACACAGCUUUCCCAGGCCUUUAUAGCCUGUCGUCUUGUUACGCUAUGACACCAAACAUCAUGUUCUGUGAUAACUGCACUGGGAUUUCAAUUAUGUGGGAUGGAAAAAACACAAGGAUUUUUUAAUUAUCAUUAAGGUUCCCGACGUUGUUUUAAACAUUCACACCCCUAACACACACGUAGGCAUUUACAGCUAAUAUUACAGACCCAUACGACCGCCCAGGGGGGACUGCACAAGCUAAACUACCUGUGUGUGUGUGUGUGUGUGUGUGUAUGAGUGUGGCAGUGUCAGUAUGAUGCAGGUGAACAUGCUUUGCUACACCUAUACAAGGAGAAACAUAUGCACACCAUCUUCCCUUCAUCCUUCUUCCUCCCUCCUCCUCGCUCUCUGUCUGGGUGUAAUGUUCUCUAACCGUAGCUGUCUGACUAAUGUUUU